AAACGCUGGGCGGGCGUUGCUUAACACAUGCAAUUCGAGCGGUAAGGCCUUUCGGGGUACACAAGCGGCGAACGGGUGAGUAACACGUGGGUGAUCUGCCCUGCACUUCGGGAUAAGCCUGGGAAACUGGGUCUAAUACCGGAUAUGACCUCAGGUCGCAUGACUUGGGGUGGAAAAAUUUAUCGGUGCAGGAUGGGCCCGCGGCCUAUCAGCUUGUUGGUGGGGUAAUGGCCUACCAAGGCGACAACGGGUACCCGACCUGAAAGGGUGACCGGCCACACUGGGACUGAAACACGGCCCAAACUCCUACGGGAGGCAGCAGUGGGGAAUAUUGCACAAUGGGCGAAAGCCUGAUGCACCGACCCCGCGUGAGGGAUGACGGCCUUCGGGUUGUAAACCUCUUUCAGCAGGGACAAACGCAAGUGACGGUACCUGCAGAAGAAGCCCCGGCUAACUACGUGCCAGCAGCCGCGGUAUUACUUAGGGUGCAAGCGUUGUCCGGAAUUACUGGGCGUAAAGAGUUCGUACGCGGUUUGUCGCGUCGUUUGUGAAAACCAGCAGCUCAACUGCUGGCUUGCAGGCGAUACGGGCAGACUUGAGUACUGCAGGGGAGACUGGAAUUCCUGGUGUAGCGGUGAAAUGCGCAGAUAUCAGGAGGAACACCGGUGGCGAAGGCGGGUCUCUGGGCACUAACUGACGCUGAGGAACGAAAGCGUGGGUAGCGAACAGGAUUACAUACCCUGGUAGUCCACGCCGUAAACGGUGGGCGCUAGGUGUGGGUUCCUUCCACGGAAUCCGUGCCGUAGCUAACGCAUUAAGCGCCCCGCCUGGGGAGUACGGCCGCAAGGCUAAAACUCAAAGGAAUUGACGGGGGCCCGCACAAUCGGCGGAACAUGUGGAUUAAUUCGAUGCAACGCGAAGAACCUUACUGGGUUUGACAUAUACCGGAAAGCUGCAGAGAUGUGGCCCCCUUUGUGGUCGGUAUACAGGUGGUGCAUGGCUGUCGUCAGCUCGUGUCGUGAGAUGUUGGGUUAAGUCCCGCAACGAGCGCAACCCCUAUCUUAUGUUGCCAGCACGUUAUGGUGGGGACUCGUAAGAGACUGCCGGGGUCAACUCGGAGGAAGGUGGGGACGACGUCAAGUCAUCAUGCCCCUUAUGUCCAGGGCUUCACACAUGCUACAAUGGCCAGUACAGAGGGCUGCGAGACCGUGAGGUGGAGCGAAUCCCUUAAAGCUGGUCUCAGUUCGGAUCGGGGUCUGCAACUCGACCCCGUGAAGUCGGAGUCGCUAGUAAUCGCAGAUCAGCAACGCUGCGGUGAAUACGUUCCCGGGCCUUGUACACACCGCCCGUCACGUCAUGAAAGUCGGUAACACCCGAAGCCGGUGGCUUAACCCCUUGUGCGAGGAGCCGUCGAANGUGGGAUCGGCGAUUGGGCG
Molecule: ribosomal RNA, 1436 nt
Filed under: unidentified
Description: bacterial SSU rRNA
Rfam family: Bacterial small subunit ribosomal RNA
Source: RNAcentral